UUCCAGACUCCUACGGGAGGCAGCAGUGGGGGAUAUUGCACAAUGGGGGAAACCCUGAUGCAGCGACGCCGCGUGUGGGAAGACGGUCCUCUGGAUUGUAAACCACUGUCCCCAGGGACGAAGAUGACGGUACCUGGGGAGGAAGCUCCGGCUAACUACGUGCCAGCAGCCGCGGUAAUACGUAGGGAGCGAGCGUUGUCCGGAAUUACUGGGUGUAAAGGGAGCGUAGGCGGGACUGCAAGUUGGGUGUCAAAUCUACCGGCUCAACCGGUAGCCGCACUCAAAACUGCAGUUCUUGAGUGAAGUAGAGGCAGGCGGAAUUCCUAGUGUAGCGGUGAAAUGCGUAGAUAUUAGGAGGAACACCAGUGGCGAAGGCGGCCUGCUGGACGAUGACUGACGUUGAGGCUCGAAAGCGUGGGGAGCAAACAGGAUUAGAUACCCUGGUA
This 446-nucleotide ribosomal RNA is filed under the name uncultured bacterium. RNAcentral's name for it is "bacterial SSU rRNA". It matches the Rfam family "Bacterial small subunit ribosomal RNA", at positions 329 to 792 of the family's 1533-position model. The record is from RNAcentral.